UAGAUGGAUGCUCCGCUGGUUUGAGCGCUUAGCUGUUAACUAAGAUCUUGCAGGAUCGAGGCCUGCCCUUCUUA
Molecule: transfer RNA, 74 nt
Filed under: Sebastes vulpes
Lineage: Eukaryota; Metazoa; Chordata; Actinopteri; Perciformes; Sebastidae
Also listed under: 1 other name
Description: tRNA-Asn
Source: RNAcentral